CAGUGUUGAGUUGUGUCCACGAGGUCUUAAUUUCAGCUUUCACCCCACAUAAAAAUACUCCUUUUGGAAUUGAAGAAGAUGAAGACAAUGAGAAAGAUGAAUUGGACAUUACUACUAAAAACGAGUAAGAAGAAGAAAUUAAUAAGAGUAGGAGAGUUUAAGUGGAGCAAGAGAAAAGGCUGAAAAGAAAUUUAAGUGGAGAAGGAGAAUUUAGGAGACAGAAAUGGUGGAUAUUAAGAAUUGAGUAUAAAAAGAGAAAGAAAGUGGGAAUUAGGGUUUUUUUUUUUAAGAAAUUGGGUAUAAAAAGAGGAUAAAAGAUCCGUUGGGUGCCACAUAAGCUAGUUCCAUAACAUUUCACGCGCCUCCCAGACGUGAGUACACGCAAACUGCCACGUCGGAAAAUUGGGCUCAAUUGAAACCAUUUCUGAAGGAGUAAAGGGUUCAAUAGGUACCUUUCUUAAUUUAGGUGCCUAUACGGGAAAAGUGAAAUAUUUCAAGGCCUGUAUAUGUAUUCCGUCUUUGAAAUAUAAUAAACUAUACGUGGUAUGCCAUUGUUGCUGCUACUAUGAGAAAAUGCAAAUCAUCUCUAAGAUGAUUCCAUUUUUUGACUUUACUGCUAUUGAGAAGAUAACAGCUGAUCCGGUUAGACGUAAUUCGGGUCUAUCAUUGUGUUUAUUUUUUGAUAGGGCACACUUAGAUAAUCUUUUUUCCUGUGUCUUUGCCAGUUGUUUAGUGAGAGAUUUGUCAGUAAAAUCAAUUAUCUCAGUGGAUAUAUUAUUUUAUCCUAACUGUUUAAGUAAAAUUAUCCUGCUUAUGACAUUUAGCCGUUGUAUCUUUUGUUAAUUAAUAUAAAUGUUUUGCACAGUAAAAUUGUGGUCUAUCUAAAGCUGUGUUGUUGGUAUAAUAAAUUUGUAGUUUAGUCACUAGAAUGAAUCUGGACAAAUGAGUUUGUGAACUCCGAAGAGUUGUAGUUGGUGUCUGAGAUUUAAGAGUUCUAGUUGAUUGCUAUUUUUGGCAGAUUCAAUGUUGUGGGACUUUGGGUCAUGGUAUGAUUUCAAAGUCUUCUUUUGUAUUUGUAGGUUCAGCGUUGUACGUCUGUGAUAUAAUAUGUUGAUAAACUCUGAGGUAGAUGAAUUUGCAAAUGUUUCUCCUAGACAUUUUGAACUAGCAGGGGGUUUUGAUUAGCCUUUGCCUCCAAUCAACUUUAAAGCUCUUGGAAAUUUAAUAACAACAUUCACACAAACAAAUCUAGAAGUUGUACCCAUGAAGAAAGAUAUAUGCAUUGGCGGCCCCCUCAACUUCAAUUAUAUUAGCAGCAGCCUUUACAUACAAUAUGUUUUUAGUGUGUAAUGACAACUGCAGAUUCUUUUGUACAUGAGUUACACACGAGUCACAAAAUUGCAUUUGAAGUAGAAAGAUUAAUCCAAAUAAUAACACUUCAAAAUACAUUCUCCAAGGAUUAUAGACAAUUUUUCCACAAAGACUGUUUAAGGGAAGACAUGAAAUUAGAGUUGCUUAAAAGAAUUCUGUCCAAGGCAACUUAUUUGUCCUCCUUCAAAAAUUGUGCUUCUUUCACUCAUAUUUGGCUCUCUAAUUUCAGAAUUUAUUUACAACACGUCCAGUGUCUCACAUCUAUAGUUAUAGUUCUAAUAAUCUAGACUUUCUUAUUCCUUCCUUGAUUUUUUCUGCAUAAGCUUUACACGUUGAUUUGGACCCUAUCAUAGAAUCAAGAUUAGCAAUAUGCUCUUUUCACCUGGCAAGAAGCUCUGUUAAAUAUCUUGAUGAGAUCCUUCCCUUCGUUGGCUUCUUUAUUUAAAGAGAAUCAGUCCCAGAGUCAUGUCUUCAAAGACUGAACAUCCAAGCUCGUUAUUCUAUAAAAAAAUUAUUAUGUUGAUUAUCCAAAAAGAGGAAUAUAUAUGUAGUAUGAAAAUUGUAAAUGAGUAUAACAUAUAUGUUGGUCCAAAUACAGUAAGAAAAGCUUUUAGAUUUUUAAUUGAAUACAUUAAAGAACUAAAUGCUAGGACUGAAUGCAUGGAUUUUGAUGCCGCACCCGUAUCGAAUUCUUCAAAAAUUAUAUUACUUUUGACGAAUUCGACACACAUUCAUUGACAUUUUUCAAGAAUUCGAGCUACAUAGACUAAAUGAAUAUUAAAUUAUCUUCCUUGAAUAAAACUUUGCAAGAAUUCUAAAUAUUUCAAUUCUUUAGCCAAUCAUUUUGAAAUGGAGAAGAGAAGAAUUUUUUUAAACUCUAUCACCUUUUACCUCAUACGAUCAUACUUAUCUAUUCAUUUUUCAUCCUUGGCAUGAAAUCAAAAUAUUCUUCAACAAAUAUGUCUAACUCAUUAAUGUGCAACUUGACAUUUUAGAAGGGUUAAAACGCUUCUCUUUUCUAGAGAGUAAGUAUGAAGAAGAUCAAAGAUCCAAUUGUACUGCAGUCUUCAUGCCCUUGGCAUAAUAUGACAGUAAUGUUUUACACGUCAUUGAGGAAAAAAAAAAGUUGAGAACAUUUUAACAGAGAACAUAAGGAAAUAUACAUUAUAUAUUUUAUUCACCAUUAUUUUCCCUCUUUCAUAUCUACUUUAAUUUGUUAUACUCGAGUCGAGGGUCUCCAAAACAGCCUCUCGUCCUCCAUGAAUUAAUGAUAAGGUCUACUUACACUCUACUCUCCCCAAACGCCACUAAAUAGUAUUUCAAUAAGUAUGUUGAUGUUGUUAUUAUUGAGAAAAUAAAGACAGGAGAAAUAUGACAAUCUUGAGAGAACACAUCAUCUAGAAUAUAUGGUGUGAGUGUCCUUUUCCAACAUUAUUUUCCAUGUAUUAAGACAGGCCACUGCAAACAGAGUAACUAAGGACUUCUGGAUGAUCAGAUCCAGAAUAAAUUGGCUCUCAGGUGGGGAUGCCAACACAAAAUUCUUCCACACCUCCACCAUGGUAAAAAGGAGGAAAAACAAAAUCUCCUACCUUAAGGACAAUGUAGGGAACCUCAUCACUGAUAGAUGACAUCAUUGACCACAUCUCUACCUUUUACCACCAACUCUACACUACUGACCACACUAGUAGUGCCAUUAUUGGGGCCCCUUAUCAAGAUGACACUAACACUUUCUCCCCCAGCCUGAGGUCCAACCUCAAUAGCCCCCUAAGGGAUACUGAGAUCAUCAAAGCUCUGAAAGGUUUCAAGCCCCUUAAAUACCCUGGACCUGAUGGUCUUCACCCUUCUUCUUUCAAAAAUACUGGGACAUUGUAGGAGAUGCCACUAAGGCUGUCUGUUAUAAGGUAUUUGAUGAAGCUAGGAUCCCGGAAGAGGUCAAUAAGACCCUCUUAUGCCUCAUCCCUAAAUGUCCCAAUGCCUUUUCUAUCAAGAACUUUAGGCCCAUUAACUUAUGCAACACUUCUUAUAAGCUCAUCACCAAAAUUAUUGUUAACUAAAUAAAACCCAUGCUUGGCACUAUUAUAGCCCCUACUCAAUCUAGCUUCCUAGAUAAUAAGAGAAUCUCUGAUAAUGCUAUCAUAUUCCAAGAAUAUGUCUCUCAUUUCAAAAAAAUAUGGGUCAUAAACCACCACGUCAUGAUCCUAAAGAUUGACUUAGAGAAAGCCUUCGAUAGAAUGGAAUAGUCUUUCAUCCACAGCUCUCUCCAGUUCUUCAACUUCCCCACCAAGCUUAUCAAGAUAAUUAUGUCUUAAAAGUCUACUAGUUCUAUCGGGGCAGCACCCCCUCUUUUAAUCCUACCAGAGGUAUCAGGCAGGGAAAUCCUAUAUCACCCUACCUGUUCAUCAUUUACAUGGAAAGACUGUUCAGAGACAUUGACAAUCAGGUGACCUACAAAAAUUGGACUCCUAUCUCUAUUACAGCUAAUGGCCCGAAAAUCUCCAGACCUCACUCUGAUUGCUAAAGCUAAUAGGAACAACUGUAAUGCAAUCUUCUCUACUUUCUUCAAUUCCAAUAGAACCUCCGAACAGCAAAUCAACAAAGCUAAGUCCAGAGUCUUGUUCUCACGCAAUACCUCCAGCCAAAAUACUUUUGAAUGUUCCAAUGCCCUAGGCAUUGAUAGGAGCAUUGAGUUUGGAAAACACCUUGGCUUCCCCAUCUUCCAUAAAGCCUCUAUGAAUGUUGAUUUCCAACUUAUCACUGAUAAUAUAUCCAGAAGACUAGCUGGCUGAAAGUAAAAAAUCCUCAACAUGACUGGCAGAUUUGUUCUUACCAAAGCUACUCUUAGCAGUAUGCCCAUCCAUAUUAUGCAGUACAUCAGGAUCCCUAGCAAAGUCCUUUAAACUAUUGAGAAAAUUGGAAACCCCCGGAUAAGGAAACCUUUAUGCUGAAUAUAAAUGGUGUUGUCCACUCUAACCCAGGCCGAGGGAGGGGAGAUGGAUUAGGGGGGUCAUUAGGAACCACAAAGAAGACUGGGUUGCUGGGUUUAAGGAUUGCACACCCCUAACCACCCUCCUCUAUGCCGAGUUAAAAGCCAUGUUGCAGGGACUGAGAGUAGCUAAGCCCCUCAACAUUAAGCCCUUCCAAUUGUGCUCUGAAUCACUGGAACUUGUCCAUGCAAUGGAACGAGGACAUGAUCUAUACACUAACAUUAUAUGUAAGUGCAGGUACCUAAUGCAGGAGCUUGGGGGCACCCGAUACCAAACACAUCUUCAAGGAGCAAAAUAGAGUAGCGGGUGCCAUGGUAAAGGAAGGCAGCAGCUGAAUACAAUUUGGAGUACCAUGUGUUUUGUCAUCUCCACCCUCAAAUGUAGUAGCCCUAGUAGAAACAGAAAAAAGGGUGUUGUUUUUGCAAGAACAGUAAAACUUACUAAUUUUGGCCUACAAGGCCGGGUUGUGGCCUCUUCUACUAACCCCACCCCUCAUGUUUUGAAUGGAGUUACAGCUUCAAUAAUUGCUACUUUGGUUUAAGUUGCUAAUAUAAUCCAUAUUAUAAAAAAAAAAAGAACCAUUAAACAUAAAAAAAAAAUAAUAAUAAUCUAUGCUUCAUAGGGGAAGAGUAGAAAAGUAGAAACUGGAACAAAAACAAAAUAGACCAACUACUAGUAUGUUCAUUGAGAAAAUCCGACUUGACAUAUCAAGAAGCUACGGAGAAGAUGAUGAAUCGGAGCCAGAAAGCUAUAAUAUGAAUCUAACCUUCUACAAUAAUAUCGUCAUACGAGGGAUGAAGAUCUUAAAUGAUAUCUCCCAAAAAUCAAAGAUAUAAUAUUCCACUUAGAAAAAUAGGUGCACCGUGUCGGCAAUUUAGCAUUGAUAUUUUGACAUUGAUAGAAAGUGUGUUUGGUAUGAAGGAAAAUAUUUUUUGGAAAAUGUUUUCCAAUUUUCUCAUGUGUGGUUGACUUACAAAUUUUGAAAAAU
Molecule: long non-coding RNA, 5343 nt
Filed under: Capsicum annuum
Lineage: Eukaryota; Viridiplantae; Streptophyta; Magnoliopsida; Solanales; Solanaceae
Description: long non-coding RNA (CANN_LNC019358)
Source: RNAcentral